GAUGAACGCUAGCGGCAGGCUUAAUACAUGCAAGUCGAGGGGCAGCAGGUCCCGCAGCAAUGCGGGAUGCUGGCGACCGGCAAACGGGUGCGGAACACGUACAGAACCUUCCUUCGAGCGGGGAAUAGCCCAGAGAAAUUUGGAUUAAUACCCCAUAGUAUAUUGAUAAGGCAUCUUAUUAAUAUUAAAGAUUUAUCACUUGAAGAUGGCUGUGCGGCUGAUUAGGUAGUUGGCGGGGUAACGGCCCACCAAGCCUGCGAUCAGUAACUGGUGUGAGAGCACGACCAGUCACACGGGCACUGAGACACGGGCCCGACUCCUACGGGAGGCAGCAGUAAGGAAUAUUGGUCAAUGGACGCAAGUCUGAACCAGCCAUGCCGCGUGGAGGAUGAAGGUCCUCUGG
Molecule: ribosomal RNA, 403 nt
Filed under: uncultured bacterium
Lineage: Bacteria
Description: bacterial SSU rRNA
Rfam family: Bacterial small subunit ribosomal RNA
Source: RNAcentral